Schistosoma curassoni is the source of this 48-nucleotide non-coding RNA. The record is from Rfam. NCBI's taxonomy places the organism in Eukaryota, Metazoa, Platyhelminthes, Trematoda, Strigeidida, Schistosomatidae.
AUUCAACUGACGAGUCCCAAAUAGUACGAAACGCACGUCAAACUGAAU